CCUGGCGGCACUAGCGCGGUGGUCCCACCUGACCCCAUGCCGAACUCAGAAGUGAAACGCCGUAGCGCCGAUGGUAGUGUGGGGUCUCCCCGAGCGAGAGUAGGG
Molecule: ribosomal RNA, 105 nt
Filed under: Salmonella enterica subsp. enterica serovar Braenderup
Lineage: Bacteria; Pseudomonadati; Pseudomonadota; Gammaproteobacteria; Enterobacterales; Enterobacteriaceae
Source: RNAcentral